This 1203-nucleotide ribosomal RNA is filed under the name Duganella sp. B2_25. RNAcentral's name for it is "bacterial SSU rRNA". It matches the Rfam family "Bacterial small subunit ribosomal RNA", at positions 156 to 1360 of the family's 1533-position model. The record is from RNAcentral. Lineage: Bacteria; Pseudomonadati; Pseudomonadota; Betaproteobacteria; Burkholderiales; Oxalobacteraceae.
AGUUACGCUAAUACCGCAUACGAUCUAAGGAUGAAAGUGGGGGAUCGCAAGACCUCAUGCUCCUGGAGCGGCCGAUAUCUGAUUAGCUAGUUGGUAGGGUAAAAGCCUACCAAGGCAUCGAUCAGUAGCUGGUCUGAGAGGACGACCAGCCACACUGGAACUGAGACACGGUCCAGACUCCUACGGGAGGCAGCAGUGGGGAAUUUUGGACAAUGGGCGCAAGCCUGAUCCAGCAAUGCCGCGUGAGUGAAGAAGGCCUUCGGGUUGUAAAGCUCUUUUGUCAGGGAAGAAACGGAGUUUUCUAAUACAGAGAUCUAAUGACGGUACCUGAAGAAUAAGCACCGGCUAACUACGUGCCAGCAGCCGCGGUAAUACGUAGGGUGCAAGCGUUAAUCGGAAUUACUGGGCGUAAAGCGUGCGCAGGCGGUUUUGUAAGACUGUCGUGAAAUCCCCGGGCUCAACCUGGGAAUGGCGAUGGUGACUGCAAGGCUAGAGUUUGGCAGAGGGGGGUAGAAUUCCACGUGUAGCAGUGAAAUGCGUAGAUAUGUGGAGGAACACCGAUGGCGAAGGCAGCCCCCUGGGUCAAAACUGACGCUCAUGCACGAAAGCGUGGGGAGCAAACAGGAUUAGAUACCCUGGUAGUCCACGCCCUAAACGAUGUCUACUAGUUGUCGGGUUUUAAUUAACUUGGUAACGCAGCUAACGCGUGAAGUAGACCGCCUGGGGAGUACGGUCGCAAGAUUAAAACUCAAAGGAAUUGACGGGGACCCGCACAAGCGGUGGAUGAUGUGGAUUAAUUCGAUGCAACGCGAAAAACCUUACCUACCCUUGACAUGGCAGAAAUCCCGGAGAGAUUUGGGAGUGCUCGAAAGAGAAUCUGCACACAGGUGCUGCAUGGCUGUCGUCAGCUCGUGUCGUGAGAUGUUGGGUUAAGUCCCGCAACGAGCGCAACCCUUGUCAUUAGUUGCUACGAAAGAGCACUCUAAUGAGACUGCCGGUGACAAACCGGAGGAAGGUGGGGAUGACGUCAAGUCCUCAUGGCCCUUAUGGGUAGGGCUUCACACGUCAUACAAUGGUACAUACAGAGGGCCGCCAACCCGCGAGGGGGAGCUAAUCCCAGAAAGUGUAUCGUAGUCCGGAUUGUAGUCUGCAACUCGACUGCAUGAAGUUGGAAUCGCUAGUAAUCGCGGAUCAGCAUGUCGC